RNAcentral lists this ribosomal RNA (497 nucleotides) under uncultured bacterium. RNAcentral's name for it is "partial 16S ribosomal RNA". It matches the Rfam family "Bacterial small subunit ribosomal RNA", at positions 28 to 507 of the family's 1533-position model. The record is from RNAcentral.
GAUGAACGCUGGCGGCGUGCCUAAUACAUGCAAGUCGAGCGAACGGACGAGAAGCUUGCUUCUCUGAUGUUAGCGGCGGGCGGGUGAGUAACACGUGGAUAACCUACCUAUAAGACUGGGAUAACUUCGGGAAACCGGAGCUAAUACCGGAUAAUAUUUUGAACCGCAUGGUUCAAAAGUGAAAGACGGUCUUGCUGUCACUUAUAGAUGGAUCCGCGCUGCACUAGCUAGUUGGUAAGGUAACGGCUUACCAAGGCAACGAUGCAUAGCCGACCUGAGAGGGUGAUCGGCCACACUGGAACUGAGACACGGUCCAGACUCCUACGGGAGGCAGCAGUAGGGAAUCUUCCGCAAUGGGCGAAAGCCUGACGGAGCAACGCCGCGUGAGUGAUGAAGGUCUUCGGAUCGUAAAACUCUGUUAUUAGGGAAGAACAUAUGUGUAAGUAACUGUGCACAUCUUGACGGUACCUAAUCAGAAAGCCACGGCUAACUACGUG